GGUAUCGGAUGGUGGGAUGGGUGAAAUACGGGCUGGACUGCUGGAUGAUGGAUGGCGAGGGGAAGUGCAGGGAGGAAGCUGAGGCACGGGGACUUCCUGCUGACAGACAGACACACACACAAAGAGAGAGUUCUAGGUCUUCCAUGCCCGUGGGAACUGUCUAACCUCUCAAAACCAUCACAAACAGAUGUUUACAGACAAAGCGCCACAGUGUAACGAGGUGAAAGAGGGUGCAGGAGAAUGAAAAAUAGGAGGAGAUGAUAUCCGUGUCAGCCCAGGGCAUGAGGAAGCGAUCCGGCGUAUGAAUGAAACGCGAGCGGGUUCACAGACUGCUCGUGUACUCUGGGCGACAGCAGAUUUAAUGAUAAAUGACACCGUCACCUUGCAGAGUUGCCAAAGCCUCAUUCAGGUAGUGAAUCACCUUUGGAGCGUAGCACAGUUCACACUCUCACACACUCACACGCGCUCGGAGCGCCACCACCGCCAUCAUCGGUGUAACAGAUGUCUUCUGUAACCCAGCAGCUCCCAACGCUGUCGACACAUGGUGGAGCCAUCUGGACCAGAGCUCUGGUGCUCCACAGACUGUGUGUGUGUGUGUGUGUGUGUGUGUUUCAAGUGUUCAGGGGUGGGGUGGGUGUAAAUAUAUGUGUGUGUUGUGUUGUGUAUUCCCAUGACAUCAGGAGCACCUGAGCAUGCUGGCAUUUUUUGGGUGGGAUUUACCCAUGUUUCCCUAGAUUAAGAUCUGUGCGACUGUGUGUUUAUCAUGACGUGGGCGGCAGUGAAUGUGAUUAGAUGAAGGAGGACCCUCAGGCCAGAAACACACUCUAUGCAAGUACACAAGUUCCCAUUGUAUGUACAUAGCUUGCAUUCUUGCAUUACUGCGGCUACUCCUGCGUAAUCUAUUUGUGCGUACUCAAAGGGGUGAUAGAGUUACCUUCAAAUGUCUCUGCCAUAAAGUCAACGUGAAUCGCCCGAUCUGAUGGACUUCACAGUGAAACAGGAGAUGCAGCGAGAAAAAAGUUAAAGCUGGAAUUGUUUUUUGUUUUGGGUAAUUGAUUGGAUAGUAACACAUUGUCUCUGUAUGACAUUAUAAUAAUAAAUAUAUAAUCAUCAUUGCA
Ctenopharyngodon idella (grass carp) is the source of this 1118-nucleotide long non-coding RNA. RefSeq lists it as uncharacterized. The record is from RefSeq and is a predicted model, not a curated record. NCBI's taxonomy places the organism in Eukaryota, Metazoa, Chordata, Actinopteri, Cypriniformes, Xenocyprididae. The transcript has 2 exons.